This 305-nucleotide ribosomal RNA is filed under the name uncultured bacterium. RNAcentral's name for it is "bacterial SSU rRNA". It matches the Rfam family "Bacterial small subunit ribosomal RNA", at positions 337 to 639 of the family's 1533-position model. The record is from RNAcentral.
UCCUACGGGGGGCAGCAGUGAGGAAUAUUGGUCAAUGGGCGGAAGCCUGAACCAGCCAAGUCGCGUGAGGGAAUAAGGCCCUACGGGUCGUAAACCUCUUUUGCCGGGGAGCAAGGGCCGGGACGCGUCCCGGCCCGGAGAGUACCCGGAGAAAAAGCAUCGGCUAACUCCGUGCCAGCAGCCGCGGUAAUACGGAGGAUGCGAGCGUUAUCCGGAUUUAUUGGGUUUAAAGGGUGCGCAGGCGGUCUGUUAAGUCAGCGGUCAAAGCCCGGGGCUCAACCCCGGCCCGCCGUUGAAACUGGCAG